GGAUUUAUUGGGUUUAAAGGGUGCGUAGGCGGCUAUUUAAGUCAGCGGUGAAAUUUUGCAGCUUAACUGUAACAGUGCCGUUGAAACUGUUUAGCUAGGAUUUGGUUGCAGUGUGCGGAAUGUGUGGUGUAGCGGUGAAAUGCUUAGAUAUCACACAGAACACCAAUUGCGAAGGCAGCACACUAAGUCAAUAUUGACGCUGAGGCACGAAAGUGUGGGGAUCAAACAGGAUUAGAUACCCUGGUAGUCCACACUGUAAACGAUGAUAACUCGCUGCCAGCGAUACAUUGUCGGUGGCCAAGCGAAAGCAUUAAGUUAUCCACCUGGGGAGUACGACCGCAAGGUUGAAACUCAAAGGAAUUGACGGGGGCCCGCACAAGCGGAGGAACAUGUGGUUUAAUUCGAUGAUACGCGAGGAACCUUACC
RNAcentral lists this ribosomal RNA (426 nucleotides) under uncultured Bacteroidota bacterium. Its description in RNAcentral is "bacterial SSU rRNA". It matches the Rfam family "Bacterial small subunit ribosomal RNA", at positions 547 to 975 of the family's 1533-position model. Lineage: Bacteria; Pseudomonadati; Bacteroidota. The record is from RNAcentral.